CAGCGAUUGGUCAGACCAUAAAUAAUAUAGAAGACAGCGCGCUAGCGUAGCUAGUCUAUGUAUAUUUAUGGUCUGCACGUCUGGUUGCAUCUCUGGCUGCUGGUGACCUUGUUUUCGGAGUAAAACACGAUGUUCAGAGGGAGAUGAUGCCACAUCUGGUCCAGCUGAUGGAAGGUCUUGAAGUUCUCUGACUGACCUCGACUGAAGAUGGUCGUCUCACUGGAUUUAAGGUUCAGAUGCUCAGUAACAAACUCCACCAAUGAGCCAACAGAUGCACAAUGAGGGACGUCUGCAGAGACUGAGAAAGAGUCUCACCACAUCCUGACAUGAGGAAAAAGACUUUAUUGAAGACUACAAUGAGAAAAACUAUCAGACAGCAGACGGCUGCAUUCAAGGUGAACUCUGAACAUUUAAUCUGGAACAGGAAUUCAAUAACGGCAGCAUGAGCUUCAUUUCAGUCUGUAGCUGCUGAAUUCAUGGAUGAAUCAUCUGGCACUAGAGAAGAAGACCAUCAAACAUCCACGUCAGCUGAUGGAGGUCCAAGAGUCUCACUGAACAACCAACCUACAGAGUGAAGACCUCAAAUCUGAUUGGACGGCCUCCUAUUCAGCCACAUGUGUGAACAAAUGCCUCUAAGCUGAUUUGUUUUCUAAAAUAAAUCUAGUUUGAGUCCUAAUCUAUGCCUGUUUGCUUCUUUACACAGCUGUUAACAGUUUAGGCUGUUAGAUUGUUCCAGAUAAGACAAGUACAAGAUUCUUCAGAGCCGUUCUACCACGAGCCUGACAGGAAGAACUCCAACAGCUACUGAAUGUUCCUGUGGUUCCCUCAAGGCUACAGGAGGAGUCCUACGAGGACGAGCCGGUCCACCUGAUGGCGGCCAGUCGCUGCGGUUCAAAGCCAACACCGACUACGUGGACUUCUACUGGACCACAUGGAGGCCUUCAAACCGGACCAACAAGUUCAGCGACUCCCCGACUCGUGGGUCUGAGGACACCGCCGAGCCUCGGUCCAGCCGGCCUCCUGUCUGUGGGUGUUUGAGUGCUGAGAGGUUUGUGGAUGCACG
This is a long non-coding RNA of Amphiprion ocellaris (clown anemonefish), 1063 nucleotides long. The record is from Ensembl. Lineage: Eukaryota; Metazoa; Chordata; Actinopteri; Pomacentridae.